RNAcentral lists this unclassified non-coding RNA (1248 nucleotides) under Hevea brasiliensis (rubber tree). The record is from RNAcentral. Lineage: Eukaryota; Viridiplantae; Streptophyta; Magnoliopsida; Malpighiales; Euphorbiaceae.
GCUGGUAUGUUCAAGAAAUGGAAGUGUGUAUUCAUUCGAAAUGGUAAGUUUCAGUGUAAACUUCGUAGCAGUAUGCAUGCCAGGUUUUAUGCUUUUGUUGCUGGUAUUUUUCAAAUUAAUAUAGAUGCUAGUCCUUUUCUUCAAUGAAUUUGAUGCCCGUGUUUAGAAUGAAGCUCAUAGUGGAAUCCUGGGCCACAGGGAACGGUUUGUUCUCUGUUGACUAACAAUUUCCUGAAGUCAUAGCACUUAAUUAUUAUUAUUUUUUAUUUCUUUACAUUGGUAUGCUGAAAUCUCCUGAAUCAAGUCAUCUUCAUGGUGUGUUUUUUCCAUGGAAUUGAUGGGUUUCUAGCUAUAUGACUUAGGACCAUGGCAUUUUUAUAAUAGAAUACAUGGAUCAACUUGGGCAUGUAAGUUGAUGUGUAUCAACACACAACUCAGAGCUAAGCAAAUCCGGGUCCUUACUGGAAUCAGAAAGAUAAAAGAGAAGUACAGUUUCGAGGAGCAAAAAAUAAAAGAAAAAAUUGGGUGUCUUGUCCUUUCUUUAUUGUUUAGGGCCUUGCCUUAACUCCAUAUUUCUGUAUUGUUUGCUUUAAAUGGCAUGUGGGUAACUGGUAAUAGCGGUUCUUCCCUGCUUGUGGGUGUUGAAUUUCCUAUUAAUUGGUCUUAUAUCUUAUCAGAAGAGGAACUUACAUCUUACCAGAAGAGGAAACUAUCUCUUAAAAAGAGUAGCUUCAUGAUCAAUUAUAAAAUGGAAUUGAAAUAUUUCAAUUUGUUUAUGGUAUUUGUGUUGAAUAAUCAUGUGAUCACUGAAGUUCUCAUUUUCUCAAUCUUUUCCUUGUAUCCUUGUUAAUUUUUUAUAUAUUCAUGAAAUUAAUUGUAUGAUCUGACAUCAUUAAUUCUGCAUAUAUUCAAAGGAAUUAUUUCCAUUUGGAAAAUGGAAUACUGUAUAGAAACUUCCAGAAUGUUUUUACCUAUUUGCUCUACUUUCAUUGCCCUUUCUUGAUUCUGAGGUGUGUGUCAGGAAAAGGGAGAUCUACUCUGGGAGUAUAAUGUUGGAGAUCCCAUAACUGCAUCUGCUUAUGUUGAUGAGCACUUACAGCUGGUGUCUGACUCCUUCCUUGUGUCAGACAGGUAAAGAAAUCACAGUAACACUCUGUUUGGAUGGGGUGAUGGGAAGGUUAGGGGAGGUUCAUUAAAGUAAAGGUGAUGUAGAACAAGAAGAAUACAAGAAUCAAGAGAAACAAAUUC